Molecule: ribosomal RNA, 766 nt
Filed under: uncultured bacterium
Lineage: Bacteria
Description: bacterial SSU rRNA
Rfam family: Bacterial small subunit ribosomal RNA
Source: RNAcentral
GUUUGAUCCUGGCUCAGGAUGAACGCUGGCGGCGUGCUUAACACAUGCAAGUCGAGCGAAGCACUUAAGUGGAUCUCUUCGGAUUGAAACUUAUUUGACUGAGCGGCGGACGGGUGAGUAACGCGUGGGUAACCUGCCUCGUACAGGAGGAUAACAGUUAGAAAUGGCUGCUAAUACCGCAUAAGCGCACAGGACCGCAUGGUCUGGUGUGAAAAACUCCGGUGGUAUGAGAUGGACCCGCGUCUGAUUAGCUAGUUGGAGGGGUAACGGCCCACCAAGGCAACGAUCAGUAGCCGGCCUGAGAGGGUGAACGGCCACAUUGGGACUGAGACACGGCCCAGACUCCUACGGGAGGCAGCAGUGGGGAAUAUUGCACAAUGGGGGAAACCCUGAUGCAGCGACGCCGCGUGAAGGAAGAAGUAUCUCGGUAUGUAAACUUCUAUCAGCAGGGAAGAAAAUGACGGUACCUGACUAAGAAGCCCCGGCUAACUACGUGCCAGCAGCCGCGGUAAUACGUAGGGGGCAAGCGUUAUCCGGAUUUACUGGGUGUAAAGGGAGCGUAGACGGAAGAGCAAGUCUGAUGUGAAAGGCUGGGGCUUAACCCCAGGACUGCAUUGGAAACUGUUUUUCUAGAGUGCCGGAGAGGUAAGCGGAAUUCCUAGUGUAGCGGUGAAAUGCGUAGAUAUUAGGAGGAACACCAGUGGCGAAGGCGGCUUACUGGNCGGUAACUGACGUUGAGGCUCGAAAGCGUGGGGAGCAAACAGGA